This 97-nucleotide transfer RNA is filed under the name Lachnellula occidentalis. It matches the Rfam family "tRNA". Rfam says of the family: Transfer RNA (tRNA) molecules are approximately 80 nucleotides in length. Their secondary structure includes four short double-helical elements and three loops (D, anti-codon, and T loops). Lineage: Eukaryota; Fungi; Ascomycota; Leotiomycetes; Helotiales; Lachnaceae. The record is from Rfam by way of RNAcentral.
GGACAGAUGGCCGAGUUGGUUAUGGCGCCAGGUUAAGGUUACUUAACAUUGCUUCCUGGUCACGUAAGUGGCAGGGGUUCGAAUCCCCUUCUGUUCA